UAGAAUUAUUUAUUGGUUGUAGCUGGUCUUCGCAAGAUGACAAUGUGCACACCUUUAUUCAUCAAUCACACCCUGUGCACCUUUUGUAGACUUUGUUGUCUAUGUUUUCACACAAAACUUGAUACAGUGUAGAAUGUUAUUUUUGCGGUCACACGCAAUCAAUA
This 164-nucleotide unclassified non-coding RNA is filed under the name uncultured Hygrophorus. RNAcentral describes it as "sequence contains ITS1". The record is from RNAcentral. Lineage: Eukaryota; Fungi; Basidiomycota; Agaricomycetes; Agaricales; Hygrophoraceae.